AACACCAGGAGGGAUUUUCAGCUGUUCCCUCUGAGUAGGACCCUCCCCCUUGCUUCCUGCCUUGAAAUGCUUCCCUGGGCUGGGCUGCUUGGGCGUUCAGUCUGUUCUAAGUCACCUUUCCCCGUCCUUGGUCCUUGGGACAACUGUGUCUUGUUGCGCAGCUGGAGCAGAGACUGCCUUGACACGGGGCGGGCCGGGCCGCCAAAACCUGAAAGUACUGCAGAAGGCUUGGGGCUGCUCCUUCCUCCUUCCCUGAGCACCUCCUCCCACCCCGGCACCUGGGGACUAGAGCCGUAGCAGCCACGUAAAUCCUUAGCGUUGAGAUGGCUGCAUCCUGGGGUCCCUACCCAAGAAUUCGAGUUUUGAGUGAGGAUACACGGAGCUCAGCAUAGCUCACAGGAAAGAUCCAGCCCCAACAACUGCAGUUGAAACUUCCAGCGACAGAGGUGGCGGUGAACGUGGUCUGAAGACACAUGCGAUCGUGAUAAUGGAACGCUCCCUAAUGGGAUGACAUGCUUUAUAACCCUGAACUAAUCGGAAUUAGCCAAAAGUGGAAACAAAAAACUGCCGGCUGGUACAAUGUCCCUUAUUUCCCUCAGCAGUUAUUUUUAGUCUUCAAGAAACACUUGGUAGUUUAGUUUUUACCUUUGUCCUCAGGUUCAAUAAAACACCACACAAUAAUGAAAUUGAA
Oryctolagus cuniculus (rabbit) is the source of this 691-nucleotide non-coding RNA. Lineage: Eukaryota; Metazoa; Chordata; Mammalia; Lagomorpha; Leporidae. The record is from RefSeq and is a predicted model, not a curated record.